CCUACGGGGCGCAGCAGUGGGGAAUAUUGGACAAUGGGCGAAAGCCUGAUCCAGCCAUGCCGCGUGUGUGAAGAAGGCCUUCGGGUUGUAAAGCACUUUCAGUGGGGAAGAAAGCCUUGGGGCUAAUACCCUCGAGGAAGGACAUCACCCACAGAAGAAGCACCGGCUAACUCCGUGCCAGCAGCCGCGGUAAUACGGAGGGUGCGAGCGUUAAUCGGAAUUACUGGGCGUAAAGCGCGCGUAGGCGGUCUGAUAAGCCGGUUGUGAAAGCCCCGGGCUCAACCUGGGAACGGCAUCCGGAACUGUCAGGCUAGAGUGCAGGAGAGGAAGGUAGAAUUCCCGGUGUGGCGGUGAAAUGCGUAGAGAUCGGGAGGAAUACCAGUGGCGAAGGCGGCCUUCUGGACUGACACUGACGCUGAGGUGCGAAAGCGUGGGUAGCAAACAGGAUUAGAUACCCGUGUAGUC
Molecule: ribosomal RNA, 465 nt
Filed under: Vreelandella stevensii
Lineage: Bacteria; Pseudomonadati; Pseudomonadota; Gammaproteobacteria; Oceanospirillales; Halomonadaceae
Description: partial 16S ribosomal RNA
Rfam family: Bacterial small subunit ribosomal RNA
Source: RNAcentral